CACAGUGGCAAUACAUAUCCGGGUAGAAUAUUAUUUUUACUUUGAAUGAACUUUUAAUGUGUUCUACCUUUAAUACGUAAUAUUCACGUACUGAAUAAUUUAAGCAAGUAUUUACACAAACACGGAAGGAAUAUAUACAUUCAUUUAUUUACUGGCUCGAAUUUGUUCAACAGUUCCAUGAGCACGACUACAAUGAUGUAAAAGCUUUCUACUGAAUACCUCUAAGUAACAACAGCCUCGUGACGAUGACGUCUCUUUCCAAUUCCGCAUGGUAUGCGUUCAUUUUCACUGCGAUAGCAAUGUUCAUCAUGUGCAUUAUCGUAUGUAACCUCAGACGACGAUUUAAACAACCACGUGGAUUGCAGCGUGAAUCUGACCGAUCCGCCGAUCCUUCAUUAAAUAUGAUAUACUCCAUAAGUAUAGACCCAGUUCUUAGAAACUCUGUGUUCGCUUACCUAGAGCGGACGGCGCAAACUGACCGCGAUACUCCUCAGGUGGACAUAUUCGCUGGGUUGCCAAGCUACGAGGAAGCGGUUGAAAAAUCGGUACAGAAACCGAUGGACAAGCCUCCACCUUAUCACCUCAUAUCAGACAGACAGACAGACAGACAUUUUUAUUAAGACUUGUACCACUUGAACAACAUCUACAUAAACAUAUAUAUCUUCAUAUAACAUUACAAUGUGUAUAUACAACAUGUAAUGGUAAAUACGUUUUGUUUUAUAUAACACAACAUUCUAUGUGUAACAAAAGCAACAUACUAUGUGUAACAAAAAAUGGAGGCUGAACUUAAUAUUUAUCUUUCAACAUUCAACAAAUUAUUUCGAAUAAAAGAGCUUCUUUAAUAUACAAAGCUAGUUUAAUAAAUUCAUUUCUAUCAUUUGAUUUCAAUAUUCGUAGAAAUUUGUAUACAGAAGGGUGCAUGUAGUAACAACGUUUUAGAUAUUUCUUUCUAACAUCGGAAUAGCAUGGACAUAUGCAUAUAAAAUGAAAUUCAUCUUCAAUAUCAAAUGACCAAUGUGGUCAAGCGUGAGCAACAGUCGUCUGUUAAUAUUUUUUUUGGUUUCAAAUUGAUAAGUACUGUAAAUAUGUGCGGUCUUCUAGUUGACUCUGCAAUUAAAUCAAACUGAUUUAAUAUUGGUGCACCUUUGUCGCUGUUAUAAAGUGUGCGUUCUUUUUUACAUUUAUAUUUCUUUAUAUAAUAUGUAUGUAUGCUUAUAGUGAUAUUAUAUGCUGUUUUAUUGUCCAUAUGCCCUUUUCUUGGUCACCCUGUGUUAAAAUGCAACCAUAUAAUCAGAUUUCCGAUCUAAUAUUUCAUCAGUGAGUGCACAUUGGUUUGAAAGUCAUCAGUAUUUGAUCAUUUUUGGCAAAUACAUUGUAAAAUAUUUGAAAAUUUAAGUCGUAUUCUUUUUAAGGAUUACGCUCAAAUCUAAUGAUGCACAUGCUUUUACCUGUGUCUAUUUUGUGCAUGUAUGUUUGCAUAUAAAUGUUGCUGGUAUUUAUUUAAAAUGUCUUGGUAUGUAUAUAUAUACGUUUAUAAUUCUCUGUACCAUUCACAGGCAGAAUAUUAAUUUGUUAAGUUGUGUUGUUGAACAUUAUAUAUUUAUUUUUUAUUUAGUUUUACAAAACCUGCUUCUUUUUUAAUUGUUAGUUUCCUAUGAUGGUAAAGAUGAACACAUUUAAAAAAAACACAUGGGCGAUGGCCUAUGCAUAAUUACAUCAUAUACUAAUAUAUCUCAUUUAGAAGUGUAGUGCACAGGAACUCAUGGGUGUUUUUUAGUAAUUGCCUUGUCUUUAACUCAUUUUUGCUCAGUGCAAUUGACUUCAAACUCCAUUCAGAAAUAUCUCAUUGUGGACUUAUGCCAUGCAAAAGAACCAUAACACUGGCUGUUUUUCAGAGCAAAUCUUUGUCUUUAUCAACUUGAUAGAGUAGUCUUUAUUUGCAUCAAUAAUUAAUAAUUAAUAUAAUGUCAUAUGUUAUACUUCAUUCACGAUACUACUAUUAAUUUGAAAAUUAUAUGAGCCUUAGAUUUAUCGACAUUUUUGUAAAGAGAUCCUCCAGAAGAACACCAUCAUACGAAA
Molecule: long non-coding RNA, 2079 nt
Organism: Mya arenaria
Lineage: Eukaryota; Metazoa; Mollusca; Bivalvia; Myida; Myidae
Exons: 3
Source: RefSeq, a predicted model, not a curated record